UGAGGAAUAUUGGUCAAUGGACGAGAGUCUGAACCAGCCAAGUAGCGUGAAGGAUGACUGCCCUAUGGGUUGUAAACUUCUUUUAUACGGGAAUAAAGUUAGGCACGUGUGCCUUUUUGUAUGUACCGUAUGAAUAAGGAUCGGCUAACUCCGUGCCAGCAGCCGCGGUAAUACGGAGGAUCCGAGCGUUAUCCGGAUUUAUGGGUUUAAAGGGAGCGUAGACGGAUGCUUAAGUCAGUUGUGAAAGUUUGCGGCUCAACCGUAAAAUUGCAGUUGAUACUGGGUGUCUUGAGUACAGUAGAGGCAGGCGGAAUUCGUGGUGUAGCGGUGAAAUGCUUAGAUAUCACGAAGAACUCCGAUUGCGAAGGCAGCUUGCUGGACUGUAACUGACGCUGAUGCUCGAAAGUGUGGGUAUCAAACAGGAUUAGAUACCCUGGUAGU
This 441-nucleotide ribosomal RNA is filed under the name uncultured Bacteroides sp. RNAcentral's name for it is "bacterial SSU rRNA". It matches the Rfam family "Bacterial small subunit ribosomal RNA", at positions 355 to 794 of the family's 1533-position model. Lineage: Bacteria; Pseudomonadati; Bacteroidota; Bacteroidia; Bacteroidales; Bacteroidaceae. The record is from RNAcentral.